Molecule: ribosomal RNA, 251 nt
Filed under: uncultured bacterium
Lineage: Bacteria
Description: partial 16S ribosomal RNA
Rfam family: Bacterial small subunit ribosomal RNA
Source: RNAcentral
UACGGAAGGUCCGGGCGUUAUCCGGAUUUAUUGGGUUUAAAGGGAGCGUAGGCCGGGUUUUAAGCGUGCCGUGAAAUGUCGGGGCUCAACCUUGACACUGCGGCGCGAACUGGAGUCCUUGAGUGCGCGGAACGUAUGCGGAAUUCGUGGUGUAGCGGUGAAAUGCUUAGAUAUCACGAAGAACCCCGAUUGCGAAGGCAGCAUACGGCAGCGCUACUGACGCUGAAGCUCGAAGGCGCGGGUAUCGAACA